RNAcentral lists this ribosomal RNA (328 nucleotides) under uncultured eukaryote. Its description in RNAcentral is "partial 18S ribosomal RNA". It matches the Rfam family "Eukaryotic small subunit ribosomal RNA", at positions 1470 to 1796 of the family's 1831-position model. The record is from RNAcentral.
CCCUUAGACGUUCUGGGCCGCACGCGCGCUACACUGACGGAGCCAGCGAGUAUAAACCUUGGCCGAGAGGUCUGGGAAAUCUUGUGAAACUCCGUCGUGCUGGGGAUAGAGCAUUGUAAUUAUUGCUCUUCAACGAGGAAUUCCUAGUAAGCGCAAGUCAUCAGCUUGCGUUGAUUACGUCCCUGCCCUUUGUACACACCGCCCGUCGCUACUACCGAUUGAAUGGCUUAGUGAGGCUUCCGGAUUGGUUUAGAGAAGGGGGCAACUCCAUCUUGGAACAGAGAAGCUAGUCAAACUUGGUCAUUUAGAGGAAGUAAAAGUCGUAACA